This 107-nucleotide small nucleolar RNA is filed under the name Olea europaea subsp. europaea. RNAcentral describes it as "Plant small nucleolar RNA R71". It matches the Rfam family "Plant small nucleolar RNA R71". From Rfam's summary of the family: R71 is a member of the C/D box family of snoRNAs containing the C (UGAUGA) and D (CUGA) box motifs. The record is from Rfam by way of RNAcentral. Lineage: Eukaryota; Viridiplantae; Streptophyta; Magnoliopsida; Lamiales; Oleaceae.
AAUCCGUGUUAUGGGCACUGGUGAAGUAAACCCUUGUAUCGUUUCCAAGUCUCUAAAUAGCAUUCUAAGUCCAUUUGCUGAAAAGUGGUGAUCUCAUCCCUUAGCUU